Molecule: long non-coding RNA, 2133 nt
Filed under: Salvia miltiorrhiza (redroot sage)
Lineage: Eukaryota; Viridiplantae; Streptophyta; Magnoliopsida; Lamiales; Lamiaceae
Description: long non-coding RNA (SMIL_LNC005912)
Source: RNAcentral
AUUACUGAAAUUUGAUCUUUGUUUUGGAUCAAACUUUGGGAGAAAACCUUUUGAAGCCCAACAUUUUAUAAGCUGCAGAUUUUUUUUUUUAGCGUGCAUCUUUUCCAUUCAAUGACUAAUUGAAUGGAAAUGGUUAUUCCACAUCUCCAAUUUUCGGCUACAAAAUCCUCAAGACUUUCCCAACUUCUUCACACAGUUCCAAAUUUAUUACUACUCACCCCAGAUUUUCUUCCGAUAAAUUUUACAACUUUCUUUCACAGAUUCGAUGCCACGAGCUGUGUAAACUUUGAGCAGAUUCAUAUCACACAGAGGUUUGCUUCAUUCUAUUCUAACAAAAUAACAUAGCUAUCACCAAUUGUUUUCACAAAACAAAAUCAAUCAAGAUGUUCAUAUGCAUAUACUUUGCAUAAUCUGAAGCAUUUAUUUCAUAAACUGAAUCAAGUUUUCCUGAAGUGAAUAAAUGAGUAGAAAUAUGUUUUUAAAUUGGAAAAAAGGGGAAUAACUUGCUGUCGGAUGUGGGUGACUCGAGGCAAGUCGGGGACUGAGAGGCGGCUGCGGCUUGAUUGCUGCUGCUGCUGCUGCUCGAGAGUUGAGGGAGAAACCGGCGGCGGCGGAGGCUGUUGAUUGUUGUUGUCUGUCGGUUGGGAGGAGAGAAAAUGGGCAGGGCGGUGGUCCUUGUGGGCUGCUGUUCAGCCGGUCGAUGGAGGAGGAAGGCGGCUGAGCGGCGACGCCGCUGUUACCGCGGCUGUUGUCGCUGGCAAGGGAGAGGUGGCGGGUGUCCGUUGAGAGAGAGCGGGGAGGAUUAGGUGUGCUGAUUUCUGUGUGUGCGUGCGUGUUCUAUGCGAGAUAGAGCGGGAGAGAGAGACGCCGAGAUGGAGAAGGAGGCGACAGCCAUAGAGUCGGCGUCGCAGCGUCUGCUCGCCGGAGAAAGAGGCGGCGGCGGCUGCAGAUUUCAGAGGGAGAAAGGAGAAAUUGAGAGCUGGGAUAGAGAGAGAGACCGAGAGAAUAAAAAGAAAGGAAGGGAUGGGUUGAAUUGGGCCCUAAUGUUUGGGCUUUGUAUUAAUUUCUGGAUUUUUUUUCAUUCAAAGGAAUUGGGCCUAAAGUAGAGUUGAAUUGGGCUGUAUUCAUUGGGUUUGCUUGGUUUUUAUUCCAAAGUUGCAUAAUACAUAUUAUUAUGCAUUAAGUAUGAAUUUUUGGAUUACGUGUUCAUAACACGAGAAGAGUUUAUUAAACAUAGAUUAAAGUUCUAAGUUAUAUGGUUGCAGUAAAGUAUUUUUGAAAUUGGGAUUUAGUUAAGUUUAAUGAGAAGUCGAUUAAUUAUCGAUCUAGGAUUUAAGAAUUUUAUGGAAAUGUUAGCAGAGACGAUAUUUUGAGGCCUAUUAAGAUUAGAUUAUUCUUGUAGGUCCACUUGAUAGAAGGUUUUAGCACUGAUUUUACAAGAAGAGAAUUGUGCAAGAUUUAUCUACAGGCUUGUUAUCAAGGUGGGUUUUUAUUUUCCAAUGCAUGUUUUGAGUUAUUGAGCUCUACAUUGUCUUUAUGCAAAUGCAAAUGAAUGUCCAUGUUAAAAUGUUUUUAUCUCUCUAUUGUUUAAAGUGCUCCUAUGUUCUCUAACGAUCGGGUCCUAGCCGGCGUAGCGAUUGGAUCGCCCUGGUUAGGAUUGUGUACACACAAGGGGGUAUUGUGGGCUGCUCCCACUUGCCUCAGACUGUCAGACUUGGGCUGCUCCCAUUUCUGAAACAUGCAUGGUAGUGGACCUCUGUGGGCUGCUCCCACAAGUUCACAUAAUAGGUGAAGCACCAGUAGAGAGAAGACUGAAAAUGGAUCCACAAUUUAUUUUUAUGUAUGCAUAGAAUGCUUUCAAAUAUUUCUAUGUUAUACUGUUCAUAGCAUGGAUUAUUCUUUUAAAUGAAUUUUUCAAAUGUUUUCAAAUGGCUAAACCCACUGAGUAUACUAGUACUCAGCCCUGCAAUUGUUUUCAAAACCUUUUGCAGGUUGAGCGGCAGAUGGUGUCGUGCGAAGCUGAGGGAGGGUGUUGUUGUAUUCCCAAAUGAAUGUCAAGAAUAAUUUCCGCUGCCAUAGUAUUCACUAAGAUGGAUAUUAUUUGAGAUUAACUAUUUUAAUAUGAACUCCUGA